Molecule: non-coding RNA, 114 nt
Organism: Erysipelothrix rhusiopathiae str. Fujisawa
Lineage: Bacteria; Bacillati; Bacillota; Erysipelotrichia; Erysipelotrichales; Erysipelotrichaceae
Source: Rfam
AACUAUGUUAUCAAUUAACCAAAGACAGUAACGGGGCAACCUUAAUAAUGUUACCGAGGUGAAAGUAUAAAACUUUUGAACCUGUCUUUUGGAUAGGUUUAUUUUUUUUGGUUU